GAUGAACGCUGGCGGCGUGCUUAACACAUGCAAGUCGAACGGAAAGGCCCAAGCUUGCUUGGGUACUCGAGUGGCGAACGGGUGAGUAACACGUGGGUGAUCUGCCCUGCACUUCGGGAUAAGCCUGGGAAACUGGGUCUAAUACCGGAUAGGACCACUUCUUGGAUGUUGUGGUGGAAAGUUUUUUCGGUGUGGGAUGAGCUCGCGGCCUAUCAGCUUGUUGGUGGGGUAAUGGCCUACCAAGGCGUCGACGGGUAGCCGGCCUGAGAGGGUGUACGGCCACAUUGGGACUGAGAUACGGCCCAGACUCCUACGGGAGGCAGCAGUGGGGAAUAUUGCACAAUGGGCGCAAGCCUGAUGCAGCGACGCCGCGUGGGGGAUGACGGACUUCGGGUUGUAAACUCCUUUCGCUAGGGACGAAGCGUUUUGUGACGGUACCUGGAGAAGAAGCACCGGCUAACUACGUG
RNAcentral lists this ribosomal RNA (467 nucleotides) under uncultured bacterium. Its description in RNAcentral is "partial 16S ribosomal RNA". It matches the Rfam family "Bacterial small subunit ribosomal RNA", at positions 28 to 507 of the family's 1533-position model. The record is from RNAcentral.